ACUGUUUCUUGGCCUUUGGGCUAAGAUCAAGCAUAGAUACCUGUUCUUAUCCAUUUAACAUCUGAUCUGUCCUCUACCUGAGAGCAACAUAUUAAGUGGACUUUUAGAGCAAGGAGAUGGAAUGAGAGAUUGCUCCAUCCUCACUGUGCAUCAACCUGGUGGUGUAGUACCUCCAGGAACGGUGCACCCCCU
Molossus molossus (Pallas's mastiff bat) is the source of this 192-nucleotide small nuclear RNA. RefSeq annotates it as U2 spliceosomal RNA. The transcript has a single exon. The record is from RefSeq and is a predicted model, not a curated record. NCBI's taxonomy places the organism in Eukaryota, Metazoa, Chordata, Mammalia, Chiroptera, Molossidae.